GCGGUAGCGCGCAGGGUCCGCCUACCGGUCGCGCGCCGCCGCCUCCGCCGCCGCUUGAGCCCAACAUGGCGAUGCACAACAAGACGGCGCCGCCGCAGAUCCCAGACACCCGGCGGGAGCUGGCCGAGCUGGUGAAGCGGAAGCAGGAGCUGGCGGAAACGCUUGCAAACUUGGAGAGACAGAUCUAUGCUUUUGAAGGAAGCUACCUGGAAGACACUCAGAUGUAUGGCAAUAUUAUCCGUGGCUGGGAUCGGUAUCUGACCAAUCAAAAAAACUCCAAUAGCAAAAACGAUCGGAGGAACCGGAAGUUCAAGGAGGCUGAACGGCUCUUCAGCAAAUCCUCAGUCACGUCGGCAGCAGCAGUAAGUGCCUUGGCAGGAGUUCAGGACCAGCUCAUCGAAAAGAGGGAACCAGGAAGUGGGACCGAAAGUGAUACUUCUCCAGACUUUCACAAUCAGGAGAACGAGCCCGCCCCGGAGGACCCUGAGGACCUGGACGGGUCCGUUCAGGGAGUGAAGCCCCAGAAGGCUGCCUCUUCUACCUCCUCAGGGAGCCAUCACAGCAGCCACAAAAAACGGAAGAAUAAAAACCGGCACAGCCCGUCUGGCAUGUUUGAUUAUGACUUUGAGUAUGUAUAUUAGGUUAGGCUGGGAAGUUUUUUUUAAAAACAGAAAAACGUGAUGGAGGAUUGAUCUGAAGUUAAACAAAAAGCCCCGAGCUGACUAUUAGAAGACUUGUUAGCAGCAGCUUCCGGCUGUGGAGCCCUGCUUCCCCUCUGACCUCACACAGCGACAAAUGUCCCUCACCUGACUGUGGCCAUCCGCCUCUGCUCCCCCAGACCCAGUGCCUGCAGCUGGCUAAUCUGUCCUAACCGUAGUGACGAGUCCUUUCUAUAAGACUGGGUCAUUCCUUGUCAUCCGGUAGUAGCAGAGCAGCGGGAAGAUCUGUCCUUGGUCCUAGUCCCCACGGGUGGCUAACUGUGCAUUUCUCCCUUCUUAGAAUGAAUGUCUCCCCCCAAACUGGCUGGCACCAGCUCCAUCUGUGACCCCACCCCCACCCCGCAUCGGGAAGUGCACACCUCUGAUUUUGUGUUAUGCUGAAGUAGAACCCAGGUUCCUCUGCAGAUGGAGGCUGUACAUAUCUGCCAUUCUUUUGUUUUGUUUUGUGUUGUAUUAUUUUUUUAUUGUUGUUUUUACCAUCUGAUUUUCUUUUGGGACAUUUUGUGAUGCCUGUACCUUCCUGAUGACACAUCUGAUCAACUGUUUCAUGUGCUGUCAAUAUUCAUAACUGAAACUAAAGUGGCUUUCUAGAAGUAAAUGGGCAACUUGG
RNA transcript from Peromyscus eremicus (cactus mouse), 1329 nucleotides. It is a transcript of the gene named MYST/Esa1 associated factor 6, with no coding region annotated. The transcript is spliced from 9 exons. Lineage: Eukaryota; Metazoa; Chordata; Mammalia; Rodentia; Cricetidae. The record is from RefSeq and is a predicted model, not a curated record.